CCUACGGGCGGCAGCAGUGAGGAAUAUUGGUCAAUGGACGAGAGUCUGAACCAGCCAAGUAGCGUGAAGGAUGACUGCCCUAUGGGUUGUAACCUCCUUUAUAUGGGAAUUAAAUGUUCCACGUGUGGGAUUUUGUAUGUACCAAAUGAAUUAGGAUCGGCCAAAGUCGUGCCAGCAGCCGCGGUAAUACGGAGGAAUCGAGCGGUAUCCGGAUUUAUUGGGGUUAAAGGGAGUGUAGGGGGGUUUGUAAGGUAGGUUGGGAAGGUUGGGGGCAAAACCGUAAAUUGCAGUUGAAACUGGCAGUCUUGAGUACAGUAGAGGUGGGCGGAAUUCGUGGUGUAGCGGUGAAAUGCUUAGAUAUCACGAAGAACUCCGAUUGCGAAGGCAGCUCACUGGACUGCAACUGACACUGAGGCUCGAAAGUGUGGGUAUCAAACAGGAUUAGAUACCCCUGUAGUC
RNAcentral lists this ribosomal RNA (459 nucleotides) under uncultured bacterium. RNAcentral's name for it is "partial 16S ribosomal RNA". It matches the Rfam family "Bacterial small subunit ribosomal RNA", at positions 338 to 795 of the family's 1533-position model. The record is from RNAcentral.